Molecule: long non-coding RNA, 462 nt
Filed under: Elaeis guineensis (African oil palm)
Lineage: Eukaryota; Viridiplantae; Streptophyta; Magnoliopsida; Arecales; Arecaceae
Description: long non-coding RNA (EGUI_LNC019263)
Source: RNAcentral
CCAUGACGAGCACCAGAUUUCUUCUUUUAUUUUUCUCGAAUUUUUUCGUCGAAGCCGCGGAUGUCCUCAUCGUGUUCAUCUCAAAUACUCACCGGAGACCUCACCGGAGUCGUAGGUAAGCCCUUCUCCUCUUUCCCCUCUUCUUUCCCCUUCUUUCCGUGGCUCGCACACCCUUGCCGGCCGUCGGGAUCGUCGGAAAAACUCAUGAAAAAGGUAAGACCCUGUUUUGCUCUGUUCGGCCGAGCCAUCUCCCUCCCUUUUCCGGCCACCAGCGCCGCUGUCCAUGGUGCCGCACCCCUAGGUUUGGACCCCCACCUCUCUGCCUAUGUUUUUCGAAGGUCAUGGCCACCGGUGAUCGGCCAAUGACCGGAGAAAUUUAAGAAAAAAGGGGCGGUCCCCUGUUUUUCAAUUUUUCUAAUUUUCCCACCGGCCGAACCUCAUCGCCGGCCAUCUCUGGCUCCA